Bos taurus (domestic cattle) is the source of this 73-nucleotide non-coding RNA. The record is from Rfam. NCBI's taxonomy places the organism in Eukaryota, Metazoa, Chordata, Mammalia, Artiodactyla, Bovidae.
UCCCUGGUGGUCCAGUGGUUAAGACUCAGCAUUCCCAAUUCAGGGGGCUCAGGUUCAAUCCCUGGUCAGGGAA